AAUGGGUCAGCGACUUAUAUUCUGUAGCAAGGUUAACCGAAUAGGGGAGCCGAAGGGAAACCGAGUCUUAACUGGGCGUUAAGUUGCAGGGUAUAGACCCGAAACCCGGUGAUCUAGCCAUGGGCAGGUUGAAGGUUGGGUAACACUAACUGGAGGACCGAACCGACUAAUGUUGAAAAAUUAGCGGAUGACUUGUGGCUGGGGGUGAAAGGCCAAUCAAACCGGGAGAUAGCUGGUUCUCCCCGAAAGCUAUUUAGGUAGCGCCUCGUGAAUUCAUCUCCGGGGGUAGAGCACUGUUUCGGCAAGGGGGUCAUCCCGACUUACCAACCCGAUGCAAACUGCGAAUACCGGAGAAUGUUAUCACGGGAGACACACGGCGGGUGCUAACGUCCGUCGUGAAGAGGGAAACAACCCAGACCGCCAGCUAAGGUCCCAAAGUCAUGGUUAAGUGGGAAACGAUGUGGGAAGGCCCAGACAGCCAGGAUGUUGGCUUAGAAGCAGCCAUCAUUUAAAGAAAGCGUAAUAGCUCACUGGUCGAGUCGGCCUGCGCGGAAGAUGUAACGGGGCUAAACCAUGCACCGAAGCUGCGGCAGCGACGCUUAUGCGUUGUUGGGUAGGGGAGCGUUCUGUAAGCCUGUGAAGGUGUGCUGUGAGGCAUGCUGGAGGUAUCAGAAGUGCGAAUGCUGACAUAAGUAACGAUAAAGCGGGUGAAAAGCCCGCUCGCCGGAAGACCAAGGGUUCCUGUCCAACGUUAAUCGGGGCAGGGUGAGUCGACCCCUAAGGCGAGGCCGAAAGGCGUAGUCGAUGGGAAACAGGUUAAUAUUCCUGUACUUGGUGUUACUGCGAAGGGGGGACGGAGAAGGCUAUGUUGGCCGGGCGACGGUUGUCCCGGUUUAAGCGUGUAGGCUGGUUUUCCAGGCAAAUCCGGAAAAUCAAGGCUGAGGCGUGAUGACGAGGCACUACGGUGCUGAAGCAACAAAUGCCCUGCUUCCAGGAAAAGCCUCUAAGCAUCAGGUAACAUCAAAUCGUACCCCAAACCGACACAGGUGGUCAGGUAGAGAAUACCAAGGCGCUUGAGAGAACUCGGGUGAAGGAACUAGGCAAAAUGGUGCCGUAACUUCGGGAGAAGGCACGCUGAUAUGUAGGUGAAGUCCCUUGCGGAUGGAGCUGAAAUCAGUCGAAGAUACCAGCUGGCUGCAACUGUUUAUUAAAAACACAGCACUGUGCAAACACGAAAGUGGACGUAUACGGUGUGACGCCUGCCCGGUGCCGGAAGGUUAAUUGAUGGGGUCAGCGC
This 1297-nucleotide ribosomal RNA is filed under the name Escherichia coli. RNAcentral's name for it is "partial 23S ribosomal RNA". It matches the Rfam family "Bacterial large subunit ribosomal RNA", at positions 614 to 1896 of the family's 2925-position model. The record is from RNAcentral. Lineage: Bacteria; Pseudomonadati; Pseudomonadota; Gammaproteobacteria; Enterobacterales; Enterobacteriaceae.